UACGUAGGGCGCGAGCGUUGUCCGGAUUUACUGGGCGUAAAGGGCUCGUAGGCGGUUUGUCGAGUCGGUCGUGGAAAUGCCCGGCUCAACUGGGCACGGGCGGUCGAUGCGGGCAGACUCGAGGGCGGUAGGGGCAAGUGGAAUUCCGGGUGUAGCGGUGAAAUGCGCAGAUAUCAGGAGGAACACCGAUGGCGAAGGCAGCUUGCUGGGCCGUUCCUGACGCUGAGGAGCGAAAGCGUGGGUAGCGAACAGG
Molecule: unclassified non-coding RNA, 253 nt
Filed under: uncultured Actinomycetes bacterium
Lineage: Bacteria; Bacillati; Actinomycetota; Actinomycetes
Description: uncultured actinobacterium contains 16S-23S intergenic spacer region
Rfam family: Bacterial small subunit ribosomal RNA
Source: RNAcentral